UACGGGAGGCAGCAGUGGGGAAUAUUGCACAAUGGGCGAAAGCCUGAUGCAGCUAUGCCGCGUGUAUGAAGAAGGCCUUAGGGUUGUAAAGUACUUUCAUCGGGGAGGAAAAACAAAACUAAUAAUUUUAUUUCUUGACGUUACCCGAAAAAGAAGCACCGGCUAACUCCGUGCCAGCAGCCGCGGUAAUACGGAGGGUGCUAGCGUUAAUCAGAAUUACUGGGCGUAAAGAGCACGUAGGUGGUUUUUUUAAAGUCAGAUGUGAAAUCCCUGGGCUUAACCUAGGAACUGCAUUUUGAAACUGAAAUACUAGAGUAUCGUAGAGGGAGGUAGAAUUCUAGGUGUAGCGGUGAAAUGCGUAGAUAUCUGGAGGAAUACCUGUGGCGAAAGCGGCCUCCUAAACGAAUACUGACACUGAGGUGCGAAAGCGUGGGGAGCAAACAGGAUUAGAUACC
RNAcentral lists this ribosomal RNA (455 nucleotides) under uncultured bacterium. RNAcentral's name for it is "bacterial SSU rRNA". It matches the Rfam family "Bacterial small subunit ribosomal RNA", at positions 340 to 786 of the family's 1533-position model. The record is from RNAcentral.